UGCAAGUCGAACGGUAACAGGUCUUCGGAUGCUGACGAGUGGCGAACGGGUGAGUAACACAUCGGAACAUGCCUAGUUGUGGGGGACAACUACUCGAAAGAGUAGCUAAUACCGCAUAAGAUCUACGGAUGAAAGCAGGGGACCUUCGGGCCUUGCGCAAUUAGAGUGGCCGAUGGCAGAUUAGGUAGUUGGUGAGGUAAAGGCUCACCAAGCCUGCGAUCUGUAGCUGGUCUGAGAGGACGACCAGCCACACUGGGACUGAGACACGGCCCAGACUCCUACGGGAGGCAGCAGUGGGGAAUUUUGGACAAUGGGCGAAAGCCUGAUCCAGCAAUGCCGCGUGCAGGACGAAGGCCUUCGGGUUGUAAACUGCUUUUGUACAGAACGAAAAGCUUUGGGUUAAUACCCUGGAGCCAUGACGGUACUGUAAGAAUAAGCACCGGCUAACUACGUGCCAGCAGCCGCGGUAAUACGUAGGGUGCAAGCGUUAAUCGGAAUUACUGGGCGUAAAGCGUGCGCAGGCGGCUAUGCAAGACUGAUGUGAAAUCCCCGGGCUCAACCUGGGAACUGCAUUAGUGACUGCAUAGCUGGAGUGCGGCAGAGGGGGAUGGAAUUCCGCGUGUAGCAGUGAAAUGCGUAGAUAUGCGGAGGAACACCGAUGGCGAAGGCAAUCCCCUGGGCCUGCACUGACGCUCAUGCAC
RNAcentral lists this ribosomal RNA (701 nucleotides) under uncultured bacterium. RNAcentral describes it as "bacterial SSU rRNA". It matches the Rfam family "Bacterial small subunit ribosomal RNA", at positions 56 to 754 of the family's 1533-position model. The record is from RNAcentral.